GAUGAACGCUGGCGGCGUGCCUAAUACAUGCAAGUCGAGCGAACGGACGAGAAGCUUGCUUUUCUGAUGUUAGCGGCGGACGGGUGAGUAACACGUGGAUAACCUACCUAUAAGACUGGGAUAACUUCGGGAAACCGGAGCUAAUACCGGAUAAUAUUUUGAACCGCAUGGUUCAAAAGUGAAAGACGGUCUUGCUGUCACUUAUAGAUGGAUCCGCGCUGCAUUAGCUAGUUGGUAAGGUAACGGCUUACCAAGGCAACGAUGCAUAGCCGACCUGAGAGGGUGAUCGGCCACACUGGGACUGAGACACGGUCCAGACUCCUACGGGAGGCAGCAGUAGGGAAUCUUCCGCAAUGGGCGAAAGCCUGACGGAGCAACGCCGCGUGAGUGAUGAAGGUCUUCGGAUCGUAAAACUCUGUUAUUAGGGAAGAACAUAUGUGUAAGUAACUGUGCACAUCUUGACGGUACCUAAUCAGAAAGCCACGGCUAACUACGUG
This 497-nucleotide ribosomal RNA is filed under the name uncultured bacterium. Its description in RNAcentral is "partial 16S ribosomal RNA". It matches the Rfam family "Bacterial small subunit ribosomal RNA", at positions 28 to 507 of the family's 1533-position model. The record is from RNAcentral.